This 23-nucleotide non-coding RNA is filed under the name Gallus gallus (chicken). Lineage: Eukaryota; Metazoa; Chordata; Aves; Galliformes; Phasianidae. RNAcentral also lists the same sequence under 1 other name. The record is from RNAcentral.
UUCGUACGUAGCAGAGCAGCUCC